Molecule: microRNA, 23 nt
Filed under: Heligmosomoides polygyrus
Lineage: Eukaryota; Metazoa; Nematoda; Chromadorea; Rhabditida; Heligmosomidae
Description: hpo-miR-10034-3p
Source: miRBase by way of RNAcentral
CAUAUGAACCUGAGCAUCCCGAA